GGAUCCUAAGUAUUUAUAUUUCUCAUGUUCUUGUGUAUUUUUUUACUGAUUCACUAUUGGAUUAACAAGAAUUAUCUUACUUUAAAUUUCUUGCUUUAAAAAAAAAAAAGAAUUAUCUUACUUCAUGUAUGGUAUGCCAACUGUUCGAUAAAGGUCCUUUUAGAAAUCUUCUAUUGAUUACCUUGCGAAGACCACAAAACUAGACACACCCAAAAGCAUUCUUGCAUAGUUUAUACAUAGAGAUGGCCGAUUGAUGAUCGUCUUAUUUGUAGACUUAACGCGAGCAGACUCGAUCGCUUAGUCCUUAUUGAUUUACGACACACAUGCUCACACACACACAUACACACAUCACAAAAUCACACAAAUUGACGGAUAAUGUUGCCGUUCAGCUCCUUCCUGAACCUCACCGCGGCAUUUUUCUGCACCAUAGUGGCCGUGAAAUACCACGAGACGAUGUCAUGGACGGCGACGUGUUGUCCGGUGGCGGCGGAUAGCCCGACCUGAACCUGCUGAGGAACAAAGUCGCUCAAAUCGUACUCAUAGUUGACAUCAAAUGUCUGCGAGCCGGCGGUGACUUUCACGGAGAUCAUCCUUGUGGCUCCGACGUAGUUGAUCCGCGCAGUCACCUGCUGCCCGAGUAUGGAGUUGUCGACCUUCGUCGUGUUGCUGGAUGCCCUAGAGCCGAAGUCGAUGCCGAUGUGGGGAUAGAGCGGAUCCCACGCGCCGUUGACGUAGGUGUCGAUUUCGACGGCGAAGACCGAGGGGCUGUUGCCGUUGGAGCCAAAGAUUCCGAGGUUGGCUCCGUUGGAGCCAGGGGGGAUGGUGGAACCGACGGGGGCAAUGAAGAAGGCGAGGCCGUCGGCAGGCUCGUUGUCGGCGCCCGGGGUGAUGAUGAAGUUCACAGUGGUUUCGAAGUCGACCUGCCCACCGGACUGCGAGAAUUGGACCGGGUUCGAGUGCAAGACGCGGCCGACUUGUGAGGGCUGUGCGUCUGUGAGGCGGAGGAAGGUGGAGUCCGUCGGGAAAUGGGCGCUGCCUUGAUAGAUGAGAUCUUUCGGCUGGUCGCCCCAGAAGUCGUAGGUGAAGGACGUCGUUUGGGACAACGCCGUGUUGGAAACGGCGAGGAGGAGGGCGAUGGAGGCGAGGAGAGGAGUUAAGGUUUGAACAAGCUGGUUGGCCAUGGCUUAAUUGAUUUAGAUUUAGAUUUAGAGAUGUGGUGGAUGAUGGUGGCCAGGUAUCGAUCUCUUGCACCUAUUUAUACUAGUAUGGUUCAUGCCUGUUAAUAAUUGUAUAUAUCAAUCAAUCAUCGUGCAUCUAUCCCAAAUUAUAUGUCUUAUUAUUCACUAAUUAGAUGGAAUAAAUCCUAAUUAGCAAUCUUAAAAUUACACCGCCAAUGAGGCCUUGCUCUAGUGGUAAAGCUGUGGCACCGAAUAACUUUUCUUUGUGAAAGGUCUUGGGUUCAAUCUCGCCUGCAUGCGGUGAUGUUUGUCCAUUUUAGAUGGUGUGGUAUUCUUGCCUGCGUGCGGUGUUGUAUUAUUUAGUCUUAGGCGUUCUUGCCUGUGUGCAUAUCACUGUGUGACAAUUAAAAGAAUGACUUUAAAAUAAAAGUUAAGCCUUAAAAAUUUAAUCUACAUUCAUAUAUAACUGAAAUUACAUGCAUGUCUAAUUUUUUUAAUAUCAUAACAAGAUAAGAUUUAUUAAAUAAUUCAGAUGCAUAAAUAAAAAGUUAAUCUAUAAACACAGUAUAGAUAUAUUAUCAAUGAUAGGCCGUGUAUAAGUCUUAAUCUGUAAAACUAUAUCAUCCCAGCCUUAAACGACUACCAUUCCUGCUUUCCCAGAGCAACCACACUGUUCCCACCCACAAAGCUUUAAGCAGUACAUGCAUGUCUAAAUAUUAUUUAUAAUUAUCAAUAACAAGAUUAAUGAUUCUAUAUCUCUAUGUUUAUACAUAUAUUCACGUAUGACAUAGUAUAUAUUAGCUAUUAAGUUAAAAACUAAUAAAAUACUACAGUUUUGCAUAGGAUAUAUAUUUAAUUAGUAGUAGGAUAGGACACGUGUAUUAAUUUUAAGGGCAAGUAAUCAAACUUUUGAAUGAUUCAUCAUGCUUAAAAAAAAAAAGAGACCUAGAUAGAUGAUUCAUCAGAUUCAAAAACAAGUAUAAAUAGACUUCGAGUUUGAAAUUUUAAUUAAUUUGCAACAACAAUUCAAACUGACUGUAUUAAGGUAAGUAGUUACAGAUUUCAUACACAUUAUAUGAUUUCGCGCACAUACGUAUGUAUAUAUAAAUAUUUUUUAAAAUCAUAUACUCCCUCCGUCCCCAAAAUAAGUUCCUCUUUGGGGACGGCACGGAUUUUAAGGAAAAGUGGUAAAGUGUAUUAAUAGUGGAGAAAAAUAUGUUAUAAUUAGUAUUGGAAGUUGUGAAAAGGUGAAAAAGUGUUAUAAUUAGUAUUGGGAGUGGUGAAAAAGUGAAAAGUAAGAAUAAAUAAAGUAUUAUUAGUGGUGGGGUAGUUGUCCAAAAAUGGAAAAAAAGAAAGAGGAACUUAUUUGGGGGACAUCCCAAAAUGGAAAAAGAGGAACUUAUUUCAGGGACGGAGGGAGUAUUAUAUAAUAAUUAUAUUUAAGUUUUAUAUUAUUCUUUAUAAACUAUUGUUCCAUUCUAUAUAAUUAGGUGUGGCACGACUAGGACGUAACUUUCGAUUGAAUUUCUCAAGUUAAUUUUCAAGUUCAAGUUUCAGGUGUGAGAUUUAUUUAAAUACAUGUCAUGAUUAUUCAUUGUCCAUUUUAAUAGUAUGUGUUUACCAUAUGUGUUAUGACGCAUAUUUUGAGGACAUCGCUAGGAGCCCAUAAAUAGGGUCCAGGACUUCACCGUCCUUGGAUUGCCACAAUGCGAUUUGAGGUUUAUUUUGAGGAUGUCGUCAGGGGCCCGUAAAUAGGGUCCAGGACUUUAAUAGUCAUUGGGUUGCCACAGUGCGAAUAUUGAAGAUAUAUAUGAAGUGACCGUAUGUGUUACCGUUUCAUUAACGUGGACAAUGAUUGCAUGUUUAAGAGACAAUAACCAAUUUUUCAGACAUUUGUGAACAAAAUGAAGCAUGUUUAGAGAUCCUUAAUAAAGGUGUACGAAAUGAUGGAUAAAUAAGUUUGUGAAACAAAUUUCACCAUACCUAACCCCACAAUUAUUUGCGGUCGAAUUUCCUCGUCACAGGAAAAAGAGAUGAUGACAAAAGGGCAAAAAUUAAUUAACAAAGUAGAAGAUGCAUGACAACUGUAAAAGAAAAAUAAUGCUACUAAUUAAAUAGUCCAAACUUCAUACGUUUCAUAUCAUAAGUGGCAGUUCUAUUUUUUUUUUGCGAAAGUGAACAAAAUAACGAAUAAUUUUUAAAGUAAUAGUAAUAAGGAGAUGUGUUUUGACAGAAAACGACAUGAGCGGCCUAAAAAUAAGAGGGAAAAAGAUAAUCAUAUAAAUAUGGGUUAAUUGCCUCUAAAUACACCACCUUUCCUUGAAUUCUACAAUUGCACAUCACCUUUAAAAUCCGCCCUUAAAUACACCACCUUUCCUUGAGUUCUACAAUUGCACAUCACCUUUAAAUCCGCCCCAAAAUACAUCAUCUUUAUAUUUUUUCUGUUUUUGCACAUGACUAAAAAAUUCUCAAGAAAUAAAUUAAAGUGUUAAUUUAUAAAUUUAAAUAUCUUUUUAGCAGCGAAAACAUAAUAAAAUAAAAUUCUUUAUAAAGUUUAAAAUCAUAUAUAUAUAUAUAUAUAUAUAAGUAUUUUCGUAAAGAAAUAAAUUCUCUAAUAAAUUUUUAGAAAGAACUUGAAUUAAAAAAAUAAACAAGUCAUGACAUUAAGAAAAUAAAAUGAAAUUUUUAUUUUAAUAAAUUUCACACGAAUUCGAUAUAAUUUGGAAUUUAGAGUUACAAUAAUCAGAAGUACCACAUGAAUAAUAUAAUGAGUUUGAAAGAAAUUUUUUUUAAAGAGGUUCGACACGCCCAUUCGACUUUCCACGCGCCUCCAAUGUCAUUUACCUGAAAUAUUAANUAUAUAAGUAUUUUUCGUAAAGAAAUAAAUUCUCUAAUAAAUUUUUAGAAAGAACUUGAUUAAAAAAUAAACAAGACAUGACAUUAAGAAAAUAAAAUGAAACUUUUAUUUUAAUAAAUUUCACACGAAUUCGAUAUAAUUUGGAAUUUAGAGUUACAAUAAUAAAAAGAACCACAUAAAUAAUAUAAUCAGUUUGAAAGAAAUAUAUAUAUAUUUUUUUAAAGAGGUUCGACGCGCCCAUUCGACUCUCCACGCGCUACCAAUGUCAUUACCUGAAAUACUAAAUAUGGGAUAAGCAUACAUAAUAUACUUAGUGUGGGAACAUGCAAUUAUUGUCCACGUUAAUAAAAUAGUAACACAUACGAUCAUAACAUUCAAAACGACACAAUUUUGCCAAUAUGGAAGCCACGUCAUUUAAAGUGGUAACACCCUAAUCUAACUAAAGUGUUAAAUAUAAAUUUAAAGCGGAAAUAUAAUAAAAUAAAGUUCUUUAUAAAAAUAAAUAAAGAAUUUUAUUUUAUUAUAUUUCCGCUGCUAAAAAAGAUAUUUAAAAUUUAUAAAUUAACACUUUAAUUUAUUUCUUGAGGAUUUUUAAGUCAUGUGCAAAAACAGAAAAAAAAUAUAAAGGUGAUGUAUUUUGGGGCGGAUUUAGAAUUCAAGGAAAUGUGGUGUAUUUAGGGGCGGAUUUUAAAGGUGAUGUGCAAUUGUAGAAUUCAAGGAAAGGUGGUGUAUUUAGGGGAAAUUAACCCUAUAAAUAUUCAAAAUCAAACGGAUUGGCAUGUAUUCAUCAUUUUUUAUUUUUUAUUUUGAUAAUUUAACAGUAUUAAAUAAAGAAAUUUAUAGGCUGCGUCCCUUACUGCUUGGCUUUUAGAUUAUGUUGUAAUAAUAAAAUUAAAAGCACGUUUACAAUAUAAAAUUAAUUAUGAUAAAUACAAUAUAUUAAUAAUAAAUACUCAAUUACCUCUUAACAUAAUUCGCGCAUCAUGGCUUUUAGCUUAUAUUAUAAAGAUAUAAUAUGUUGUCUAUAAUAAUCGACGGAAGGUAAUAGACAACAUGUUUUACUUCUUGUCUAUAAUAAUAUAGACAGUAGAUCUAGUGUUAUAGAUAACAAUUAAUACGUGUUGUCUAUAUGAUGAUAGACACCAAAAAUCUCUGUUGUCUAUUCUAUGACAAAAAAAUUUAAAAAAAUUCUAAUAUAUUUACAUCCCUGUAUUACAAUACCAAUAUAUAUGAAAAAAUAAAAAUAAUUAAAAAUCAAAUAAUCAAACAAUACUUAUAAACCACUAAUACUCACAAUCAAAUAUUUACACAUCAACAAUUGUAUUAUCUUUAAUUACGCCUUCAUUUAUCUACUAAAAAAAAUCUCUAAUAAAAUCUCUAACUAACUCCGGUCAUCAUCUCUUGAAGGCUUAGAAAAUGUCCAAAUACAGCGGCACAUGCUCAUUAUUGUGUGAGCGAUGAGAACUUUGCGCUGAACCUAUAAAGUAACUAUACUUAACUGGUAAAGUAAUUGUAUCCCGUGAAUCUAAAGGAAGAAUAAACACGUUGAUAGAGUUUGAAAGAAAAGAAUAAAGAGAAUGAAAAUCCAAAGAAUUUGCUUCUUCCGUUGAACAAUCCCUACACAACGUUGAAAUAUCAAUGAAAACAAUGGCUAUCCUAUACUCCCUCCAUCCAUGAAAGAACUUCCUAGGAGGGAGUGACACGGGUUUUAAGAAAAAAUAUUGUUAAGUGUAUUGAGAGUGGAUAAAAGGUAGUUGAGUGUAUUGGGAGUGGUGAAAAUGUGUUAUAGUUAAUAUUGAGAGUUGUGAAAAGUGAAAAGUAAGAGGAUUAUAAGUGGUGGGGUAUAGUCCAAAAAUAGGUAGGAAGUUCUUUUGUGGACGUCCCAAAAAGGAAAGAUAUGAAGUUCUUUCGUGGACGGAGGGAGUAUUAUUUUGCAGCAGCAACCACGUUUAAAAACUCGAUCCCUCUAUUCUUGAAUUUGUGAAAUUUCCGACUGAUUUAUUAGAUUCACCAUUUAUUUCAGUUUAAUUAGUCUAUAUAUAGAUAUUUCUUAUAUUAUUAAAUUGUUAACCUCAUGGUAGAUUUCAAGAUUUGAAAAUUCAACAAAGAGCUUGAGAAUUAUAGAGAUUGGAAGGGGAAGAUGAAACAUAGUUGGGUGAAAUUAGAAACCAAUUAAAGUCAGGAGAUUGAAGAAAAACAUAACUUAAAAACACAAAAUAAGCAAAUCGUAGAUGCAGUAUCUUGCAAGAAAAAGUUCAUAUUCCCAAGGCUAUGAUGAGCACGAAUUAGGGUGUGUCUGCAUUUUAUCCCUCUAAAUGGAGGAAUAAUAAAAUUUUAUGCCUUUAAAUGUUUGCUUUCUUAUCACACAUUCUAAACAAACACCAUUUUUUCUUCCUUAUUUUCACUUCAAUGAGGGAUAAUAUUAUCCCUCCAAUUUUGGUGUGAUAAUAUUAUCCCUCCUACAAGUGAAAAUAAGGAAGAAAAAAUGGUACUCCCUUCGUCCCAAACGAAAUGUCCUGUUUUCCUUUUUGGGCUGUCCCAAACGAAAUGUCCUGUUUCCUUUUUUGGCAAUACACUCUCUCUCUAUACUUAAUAUUUAAAUAAUUUUCACCAACCCACUUUAUCUACUUUAUACACAUUUCUUAAUCUCCGUGCCGAAAAGAAAUGGGACAUUUCGUUUGGGACGGAGGGAGUAUUUGUGUAGGAUGUGGGAUAAGAAAACAAACAUUUAAAGACAUAAAUUUUUGUUAUUCCUCCAUUUAGAGGGAUAAAAAGCAAACACACCUUAGAGUCUAAUUACAAUUUAGGCGCAGGCUGUGUGAGAAUUACUUAGUCGAAUAGGAUCCUUAGUAUUUAUAUUUCUCAUGUUCUUGUGUAUUUUUUCACUGAUUCACUAUUGGAUUAACAAGAAUUAUCUUACUUUAAAAAAAAAAAAGAAAUGAUCUUACUUCAUGUAUGGUAUGCCAACUGUUCGAUAAAGGUCCUUUUAGAAAUAUUCCAUAGAUUACCUUGCAAAGACCACAAAACUAGACACACCCUGCAUAGUUUAUACAUAGGGAUGGCCGAUUGAUGAUCGUCUUAUUUGUAGACUUAACGAGAGCAGACUCGAUCGCUUAGUCCUUACUGAUUUACGACACACAUGCACACAUACACAGAUACACACAUCACAAAAUCACGCAAAUUGACGGAUAAUGUUGCCGGCCAGCUCCUUCCUGCUCCACGCCACGGCAUUUUUCUGCACCAUGGUGGCCGUGAAAUACCACGAGACGAUGUCAUGGGUGGCGACGUGUUGUCCGGUGGCGGCGGAUAGCCCGACCUGAACCUCCUGAGCAACAAAGUAGCUCAAAUCGUACUCAUAGCUGACAUCAAACGUCUGAUUGCCGGCGGUGACUUUGACGGAGAUCAUCCUUGUGGCUCCGACGUAGUUGAUCCGCGCAGUUACCUGCUGCUUGAGUAUGGAGCUGUCGACCGGCGUCGUCUUGCUGGAUACCCUAGAGCCGAAGUCGAUGCCGAUGUGGGGAUAGAGCGGAUCCCACGCGCCGUUGACGUAGGUGUCGAUUUCAACGGCGAAGACCCCGGGGCUGUUGCCGUUGGAGCCAAAGAUUCCGAGAUUGGCUCCGUCGGAGCCAGGGGGGAUGGUGGAGUCGACGGGGGCAAUGAAGAAGGCGAGGCCGUCGGCAGGCUCGUUGUCGGCGCCGGGGGUGAUGAUGAAGUUCACGGUGGUUUCGAAGUCGACCUGCCCAUUGGACAUCCAGAAUUGGACCGGUUCCGAGUACAUGACGCGGCCGACUUGGGACGGUUGUGCGUCUGUGAGGCGGAGGAAGGUGGAGUCCGUCGGGAAAUGGGCGUUGCCUUGAUAGAUGAGAUCUUUCGGCUGGUCGCCCCAGAAGUCGAAGGUGAACGACGUCGUUUGGGACAACGCCGUGUUGGAAACGGCGAGGAGGAGGGCGAUGGAGGCGAGGAGAGGAGUUAAGUUGGCCAUGGCUUAAUAGAUUUAGAUUUAGAGAUGUGGUGGAUGAUGGUGGUAUCGAUCUGUUGCACCUAUUUAUACUAGUAUGGUUCAUGCCUGAUAAUAAUUGUAUCAAUCAAUCAUCGUGCAUCUAUCCCAAAUUAUAUGUCUUAUUAUUCACUAAUUAGAUGGAAUAAAUCCUAAUUUGCAAUCUUAAAAUUAAACCGCCAAUGAGGCCUUGCUCUAGUAGCAAAGCUGUGGCACCCAAUAACUUUUCUUUGUGAAAGGUCUUGGGUUCAAUCUCGCCUGCAUGCGGUGAUGUUUGCCCACUUUAGGUGGUGUGGUAUUCUCGCCUGCGUGCGGUGUUAUAUUGUUUAGUGUUAAGGUCCCACAUGCAGGGCGUUCUUGCAUGUGUGCGUGUCACAACCCAAAACCAUUUAUUUUCUUUACAAAUUUUAUAUGAAAAUUAUUUGAUUUUUAAGUUAUAGAGUUUUCGAUAUAUAUACAUAUAGUGUCAAUUUUAUGUUAACUUAGUCGUGUCCCUAAUUAAAAGAAUGAAUUUGAAAUAAAAGUUAAGCCUUAAAAAUUUAAUCUACAUUCAUAUAUAACUGAAAUUACAUGCAUGUCUAAAUAUUAUUUAUAAUUAUCAAUAACGGGAUUAAUGAUUCUAUAUCUCUAUGUUUAUACAUAUAUUCACGUAUGACAUAGUAUAUAUUAGCUAUUAAGUUAAAUAAAAUACUACAGUUUUGCAUAGGAUAUAUAUUUAAUUAGUAGUAGGAUAGGACACGUGUAUUAAUUUUAAGGGCAAGUAAUCAAACUUUUGAAUGAUUCAUCAUGCUUAAAAAAAAGAGACCUAGAUAGAUGAUUCAUCAGAUUCAAAAACAAGUAUAAAUAGACUUCGAGUUUGAAAUUUUAAUUAAUUUGCAACAACCAUUCAAACUGACUGUAUUAAGGUAAGUAGUUACAGAUUUCAUACACAUUAUAUGAUUUCGCGCACAUACGUAUGUAUAUAUAAAUAUUUUUUAAAAUCAUAUAUUAUAUAAUAAUUAUAUUUAAGUUUUAUAUUAUUCUUUAUAAACUAUUGUUCCAUUCUAUAUAAUUAGGUGUGGCAUGACUAGGACGUAACUUUCGAUUGAAUUUCUCAAGUUAAUCUUCAAGUUCAAGUUUCAGGUGUGGGAUUUAUUUAAAUACAUGUCGUGGUUAUUUAUUAUCCAUUUUAAUAAUAUGUGUUUACCAUAUGUGUUAUGAUGCAUAUUUUGAGGAUAUCGCUAGGGGCCCAUAAAUAGGGUCCAGGACUUCACCGUCCUUGGAUUGCCACAAUGCAAUUUGAGGUUUAUUUUGAGGAUGUCGUCAGGGAUCCGUAAAUAGGGUCCAGGACUUUAAUAGUCCUUGGGUUGCCACAGUGCGAAUAUAUUGAGGAUAUAUAUGAAGUGACCGUAUGUGUUACCGUUUCAUUAACGUGGACAAUGAUUGCUUGUUCUCACACUGAGUGUACUCUGUAUGCUCAUCCCAUAUUUAACGUGGAAGGUCGAUUGACGAAUCAAAUAUUUUGUAUUUAGCUUUACCUAAAUAUGUUAUUUUGAGUAAAGUAUUUUAAAUAAAAAUUUAUUUCAUAAUUUUCUCAUUAAAUAUUUAUUUAUAUUCAUAGCUUUUCCGCACAAAUAUUUAUUUAAAUUUUAAUUAGAUUUGGGUGUCACUGUGCGGUGAUGUUUUUCCACCGUUUCGGUGGUGGUGAGGCCCCACCUGCGUGCACGUUAUAUACUUGAUUAUAUUCAGAUACCUCUUGUAAUUUUUAAAAAAAUAAUCAUAAAAUUAAACCAAAGCAUAUAAAAUUGAAAUUGGCCAAAAAAAUAUAUAAAAAUAAAUAAAAUUAAAAAUGGGAUAUAAAGUGAGACAUUAAAUGUGGUACACUACUGAAUCUCAAUCCAACACGUGGAUGCUACAUUGUACUUGUCGGAAUAUUAGAACUUCUACAAAAUAUUGCUAUUGGAAACGUGAAAUUUUAUUAUGAGAAAACUUAUACCUGACCCCACAGUCGUGGGCACGUGUUAUGUUGCGCGGAAAUUAAAGUGGUGGGGACCGUAAAUGGUAUUUUAGUCUUUUAAUUUAUUUUAGUAUACAAAAGAGUUAAUUUUAAAGAGGCGCUAAAAAACACAUCACUUUUAAAAAUUGGUAUUUAAAAUCUUGAACCCCUUUUAUUAUUUUAGAAAGAUAUUAAUUAAUUGAUAAAUUAAUAAAUUAUUAAUUGAAACAAUUAUUUUAAGCAAAUUUAAUUAUAAUUACCUAAAAAUUUAAAAAACAUAAAUUCAAUACCAUUCAAAUUCAACAAACUAACUUAAAUUUUUACUUUAAAAAAUCUUCAUCAAUCUUGCAAUCUCGGCUUGGACUAUAAAUGUUCAACAAGAGACAAUAACCAAUUUUUCAGACAUUUGUGAACAAAAUGAAGCAUGUUUAGAGAUCCUUAAUAAAGGUGUACGAAAUGAUGGAUAAAUAAGUUUGUGAAAAUUUCACCAUACCUAACCCCACAAUUAUUUGCGAUCGAAUAUCCUCGUCACAGGAAAAAGAGAUGAUGACAAAAGGGAAAAAAAAAUUAACAAAGUAGAAGAUGCAUGACAACUGUCAAGAUAAAUAAUGUUACUAAUUAAAUAAUCCAAACUUUAUACGUUUCAUAUCAUAAGUGGCAGUUCUAUAUUUUUUGCGAAAGUGAACAAAAUAACGAAUAAUUUUUAAAGUAAUAGUAAAAGGAGAUGUGUUUUGACAGAAAACGACAUGAGCGGCCUAAAAAUAAGAGGGAAAAAGAUAAUCAUAUAAAUAUUCAAAAUCAAACGGAUUGGCAUGUAUUCAUCAUUUUUUAUUUUAAUAAUUUAACAGUAUUAAAUCAAGAAAUUUAAAGACCGCGCCCCUUACUGCUUGGCUUUAAGAUUAUGUUACAAUAAUAAAAUUAACAGCACGUUUACAAUAUAAAAUUAAUUAUGAUAAAUGCAAUAUAUUAAUAAUAAAUACUCAAUUACCUCUUAACAUAAUUCGCGCAUCAUGGCUUUUAGCUUAUGUUAUAAAGAUGGAGUAUAAAAUAAUCAUCACCUGUGCAUGAUAUUUCACAAAAUAAUUAAAUAAUAAAAUAAUCAAUCAUAAUGCCAAGACGUGACUCUUGUCGGUCAUAUCUCAUCAACUUUAUCUAUAUAGUACAAUGAUGAUUAAUUUGAGAACGACGAUUAAGACACCAACUAUUCUUGUGGGGACACAUGCAUAUAUAGAAUUAAUAUUAUAAACUCUCUCGGUCCACGAAAUAACUUACUAUUUUUUCUUUUAAGAACGUGAACAAAAAAAAUUCCCAUCGAUAUUUCGGAACUAUACCCCACUACUUUAAAAUACCUCAUUUUACCCUUUCUUUUUCACAAAAACAACAAAUUACUAAUAAUUUUUCACUAUUCCUAAUAUACUGAACAAUUUUUCUCCACUCUCAAAUUUUGUAGCACCGAAUAAAAUUAAAUACUAGUAUUAUUUUUUGUAGAACUAUAAAUAAAUAUUAUUCUCAAAACAUGUACUAUUACUUACUAUUUUUUUUAAAUGUGGGACGACCAAAAAAGGAAAGAUGAAUUCUAAAAGCUGGGACAGAGGAUAUAUUAUUUUUCUUCUUGGUUCUGAAGUAUGAAUAUUAAUUAACAAUUCUUCGUCCACAUCAAGCUCACCUUCACGUAAUUUUUUCUUGAACAACACCGAAAAAUAUAUAAUCCCAACAUAGCAUGAUCAAUCUCAAUGCACCAAACAUAAAUUAGUUUUAAAAUAAUAAUAAGAUUAACUACUAUAUUGCUGAAUUAUGCAGUAGAAUUAAAAGCGUGAUUUUUUUUUAAUAGAGCAGGUUAAUCUAGGCCUACCUGAACCAUCUGACUAUGCAUGAGUUUGAUUUUUCUUCUUGAUCUUUUUUAAUUUUACCGACAAAGAAGAUUUUCACAAAUGAAAAGAAAACGUUCUAGUAACAUACUACAUGCUUACUUCAGAUUUGCAACCAAGUCUAUUGAGGGUUUUAUUUGCUACAUAUAUAAACACAAGGAUUUGGUUUGAUACAAAUUAAGAAUAUUCAACUUUCAUCGGCUCAAGCACAUAGAAUCUCCCCGAGUAGUUAUAACUGGUCAAUGUUUUUGCCGAUAAAAAGGAAAAGGAAAGAAAAAAGAAAGAAGCAAGACGGAGAAAAAGUUGUAGUAAAUGAUUAUGCGAUGAAAAGAAAAUGGAAAAGAGAAAGAAAGAAGAAAGUUGUAGGAAUUUUGAAGAAUUUGUACUUAUUUAGAAUUGUGGUUAUUGUGGGAUCUUGUAUAAUAAUAAUAAUAAUAAUAAUAAUAAUAAUAAUAAUUAUUGGGCCGUUCCACGAAUCUUGGCACAUUUUCAAAUAAGGUAAUAAUUCAUUCUCUCUCUUACUUUAUCACUUUAAUACUUUAUUAACUACAAACUUAAAACACUAAUAUACAAUUCCUUAAUUCCCGUGUCGAAACCAAACGUGUCAAGAUUCGUUGGAUGGAGGGAGUAAUAAUAAUAAUAAUAAUAAUAGUAAUAAUAAUAAUAAUAAUAAUAAUAAUACAUCAUUGCCCUUUAAAAAGUUUUAAAAUAGGAACAUAAUAUGUAAAUCUAAUUUUGUAAAAGAAGCUCUUCUAUAGUAAUAGUUAUAGAUUUGGUGUGGAGGCAUUUGUUUGAGAAUGGGUAAAACAUACCAUUAACCCUUUGAUAUAUGCACGAGACACUUAUUUGUGGAUAGGACAAGAAUUAUUUUGUUGCAUAGGAUCCCUUCCAAAUGUAAUUACUGAUUCACAAUUGGAUUAACAAGAAUUAACUUACUUCAUAUUCAGUAUUCCAACUGUUCGAUAAAAGUUCUUAAUGAAAUCUUCCAUAGAUUACCCAAAUGCAUUGUUUUGCAUAGUCCGUACAUUGAGAUGGUCGAGUAUCUUAUGUCUAGACUUAACGAGAGCAGACUCGAUCGCUUAGUCCUUAUUUAUUUACGACACACACACAUCUCAAAAUCACACAAAUUGACGAAUAAUGUUGCCAGCCAGCUCCUUCCUGUUCCACGCGCCAGCAUUUGUCUUCACCAUGGUGGCUGUGAAAUACCAUGAGAUAAUAUCAUGUUUGGCGACGUAUGGUUGGUUUAGUCCGCUGGCGGCGGAGAGCCCUACCUGAACCUGCUCAGGAAGAAACUCGCCCAAAUUGUACACAUGGCUGACCUCAAACGUCUUCGAGCCGGCGGUGGCACUGACGGUGAUCAUCUUCGUGGCUCCGACGUAGUUGAUCCGCGCAGUCACCUGCUGUCCGACUAUGGCGUCUCCGACAUUCGUCGUGUUGCUGGAUUCCCUAGAUCCGAGGUCGAUGCCGAUGUGGGGAUAGUUCGGAUCCCACGGGCUGUUGAUGAAGGUGUCGAACUCGACGGCGAAGACCGAGGGGCUAUUGCCGUUGGAGCCGAAAAUUCCGAGGUUGGCCCCAACAGCGCCACUGGGGAUGGUGGAGCCGACGGGGGCAAUGAAGAAAGCGAGGCCGUCAGCGGUUUUGCCAUCGGGGCUGGGUGUGAUGAUGAAGUUAAUGGUGGUUUCAAAGUCGACUUGGCCACCGGAUUGGGAGAACUGGACCGGCUUCGAGUACAAGACCCGGCCGACCUGGUAUGUCUCGAAGUCGGUGAGGCGGAGGAAGGUGGAGUCCGAUGGGAAAUGGGCGUGGCCUUGGUAGGUGAGAUCGGUCGGCUGGUCGCCCCAGAAGUCGUAGGUGAAGGACGUUGUUUGGGACCACACCGUGUUGGCAGCGGCGGCAAGGAGAAGGGCGAUGGAGAUUAGGGUUUGUUGAAGGUUGGCCAUCGCUUAAUUGAUUUGGAUGUGGUGGAUGAUGGUGGUAUCUUUAUCUUGCUUCUAUUUAUAGUAGUAUAACGAGCCCUAGUUAAUUAUCUUUAAAUCAUACUAAAAUAUCAUAAAUUAAAAUUGAAGAAAAAAAAGUUAAAACCUACUCUCGCAGUCCCUCAAAUAACUUCUUAGGAGAAGAGGGGUAGGAGUUUUAAGACGAAGUUAAUGUGCAAAGUAAGGAUAAA
RNAcentral lists this long non-coding RNA (14042 nucleotides) under Salvia miltiorrhiza (redroot sage). RNAcentral describes it as "long non-coding RNA (SMIL_LNC011427)". Lineage: Eukaryota; Viridiplantae; Streptophyta; Magnoliopsida; Lamiales; Lamiaceae. The record is from RNAcentral.